AUUUCCUCAUCGUGAAGCUUUGUUCCUCGUGGGGGCUAGAAAUCUCUUUCUAGCUCCAGAUUGUGAAGGCUUCCUGAGUAAGCAGCGUGUCUCCAUCCCCCUCUCUAGGGGCUCUUGGGUGGAUCUUGCACUCUAGAAGGAACAAUGGACCUCUGGCUUUGGUCACUUUACUUCCUGCCAGUAUCAGGGGCCCUGAGGAUCCUCCCAGAAGUAAAGGUAGAGGGAGAGCUGGGCGGAUCAGUUACCAUCAAGUGCCCACUUCCUGAAAUGCAUGUGAGGAUGUAUCUGUGCCGGGAGAUGGUUGAAUCUGGAACAUGUGGUACUGUGGUAUCUACCACCAACUUCAUCAAGGUGGAAUACAAGGGCCGAGUCACUCUGAAGCAAUACCCACGCAAGAAUCUGUUCCUAGUGGAGGUAACACAGCUGACCGAAAGUGACAGCGGAGUCUAUGCCUGUGGAGCGGGCAGGAACACAGACAGGGGGAAGACCCAGAAAGUCACCCUGAAUGUCCACAGUGAAUACGAGCCAUCAUGGGAAGAGCAGCCAAUGCCUGAGACUCCAAAAUGGUUUCAUCUGCCCUAUUUGUUCCAGAUGCCUCCAUAUGCCAGUUCUUCCAAAGUCGUAACCAGAGUUACCACACCAGCUCAAAGGACCAAGGUUCCUCCAGUCCACCACUCCUCCCCCACCACCCAAAUCACCCACCACCCUCGAGUGUCCAGAGCAUCUUCAGUAGUAGGUGACGAGCCCCCAACCUUCCUGCCAUCCACUACAGCCUCAAAGAUCUCAGCUCUGGAGAAGCUGCUCAAGCCUCGGACAGCCAGCUACAACCACCACACCAGGCUGCACAGGCAGAGAACAUUGGACUAUGGCUCACGGUCUGGGAGGGAAGGCCAAGGAUUUCACAUUCUGAUCUCGACCAUCCUGGGCCUUUUCCUGCUGGCACUUCUGGGGCUGGUGGUGAAAAGCGCUGUUGAAAGGAGGAAAGCCCUCUCCAGGCGGGCCCGCCGACUGGCCGUGAUGAUGCGCGUACUGGAGAGCUCCCAGAGGACUCGCGGGUCGCCGCGACCGCGCUCCCAAAACAAUAUCUACAGCGCCUGCCCGCGGCGCGCUCGUGGGGCGGACGCUGCAGGCAAGGGAGAGGCCCCCGUUCCAGGCCCCGGAGCGCCGUUGCCCCCCGCCCCGCUGCAGGUGAGGAGCACGGGCAAUGCCUGUAACCCCUUGGUCGCACAUCUUCCCAGUCUAUGCUGCUGUAAAUACCCAUCGUACAACAGCAAGCUCGUGUUGUCCCCAAGCGCUUGCACAUUCUAACAGCUGCAGAGUUAUAUGACCAGGUGGAAAGUUAAACAGAUGCUCCACUCACAAGGUGUCUGAAUCUCCCUGGUUCCAUGCCCCAUCUCUGAAGAGCAGCUGUGAAUAUGUGAGUCUCUACCACCAGCCUGCCGCCAAGAUGGAGGACAGUAAUUCAGAUGACUACAUCAAUGUUCCUGCCUGACAACUCCCCAGCUGUCCCCCGACCCCAGGCUCAGACUGUGGUGCCAAGGAGUCUCAUCUGUCUGCUGAUAUCCAAUACCUGCUUCAUGUGUUCUUAGAGCCCUCAUCACUUCCCAUGCCCCAUCUUGACUCCCAUCCCCGUCUAUCUGUGCCCUGAGCAUGGCUCUGCCCUCAGGUCCUCUUGCACACCUUGGCAGCCUCCUGUAGUUGACAGGUAAGCUGUAGGCAUGCAGAGCAAUUGUCCCAAUGCCACUUGCUUCUUUUCCAAUCUAACAGGCUGUGGGAUUUGCAGAGCAUUUCUUCCAUGUCUUUGACCACAGGGUUGUUGCUGCCCAGACUCUAGACCACAUGGCAUCAGGCUGGGGCAGAGGCAUAGCUAUUGUCUUGGGCAUCCUUCCCAUGCUUGGGUCUUACACAAGUAGAAGGCUGUUGCUCUGAAUUAUGUGGACAUGCCUCAGCCCCAAGGACUAGGCAGGGGUCUAGUAUAAAAACACUCCCGGAAACGCCUUUGCCCUGAUCCAAAAGUUAGCACUUCUAGUGAACCUCUACUUAUCUCAAGUUCUAUGCUAAAGGCAAUUUAUCUUGAUGUGAUGAGGUAUUCUAAAUUUCAGAACCAAGCUUGUUAGCGAGAUAUGCAUAUAUAUCCAUAAACUCUCUUUACUUUGUCUCCAUCACUUGAUGCACGUAAGUGCCCUGACCUCAGCAUCUCUCCUCAAAAAAAAAAGUAUUUGUCAUCUCUUUAUCUUUCUUCCAUAGCCUGACACUGAUGUUUGUGCACUUACCUUAACUUUUAUCUAUUUUAGUCAUCCAAAACUAUUACAUUUCUUGGCUUUCACAAAUGUUGCCCAUUUCUUAGGCAGUUCCAGACAAUGUGGGGAAGGAAAGCAAUAAGAAAUUCCUGGGUAGCACUUAUGUCAUGGAAGAAGAGAUAUCCCACCUCCUACAUAUACUAUUUGUCUAAGUUUUUGGAACAAGGUCAUAGUCAGACAUUAUAUCUUUAGAUUGAUGUCGACCACAAAGUUCAGCCAGAGCUUGAGGCUAGAUGCCGAGCUUUGCUGCUGGGAAGAAGGCCUCUUCUGGCUAUACUGCACAGUCUCACUGGGCAUUCAUCCAGAAAUAGAGAAGAAAGGCUGCCAGACUUGAGUUGUGUUGUCUUUUAUUAGCAGGGAAUGUCAUCACAGAUUGGAUGGUACAUCCAAGUGCAAUGUCACCAUCAGCAAGGUCAGCUUGACACUCAAGUGGCACAUUAGGGAAGAAUGACUAGGACAAAAAAAAAAAAGGAGGGCACCAAGGGAAAGGGAUGAUGGGGUGGGUUGGUGAGUGUGGGUGGGAAAUGAAAUGUUUAGUGAGGAUCUGCUUUGUACUGGGCACUUUAAUCCACAUUUUAUCAUUUGCUUUUCAAACCGAUGCACCUUACCCCCACCCCAAUGCUCUGUCCCUGCAGAUAUCAGAAGACAGUGUGAUUUUCACACUCUAAAGUUCAGUUUUACAUGCCAUCAUCCCUCUCUGUUUUUUAACAAUCCAAAGACAGACCAAAAAAACCACCACAGUUUAUUAAGUACUUACUGAGCACCCAUCCACUGCCCCACAUUGUGGCAAGGAUUGUGAGGGGUAAAGAAGCAUGGGGCACAAUAUUCUGCUGCCUUCAUGUAACUUACAGUCUCACAAAUAAAUAGAACUUCAGUUGAAAUACUGACAUUAAUUAAAUAGAGUUGUAAUAAAUACAGGAAUCUUCUUUGUAGACUCUUCACAGCAUCCAGAGGCACCUUCCCUGACUGUCACUGGGGCUGCUUAAAGAAUGACUUCUUUGACAAUAAUCCUGGGCCAAAAAUGGGACCCAUGGCCAAGGGUAUGAAGUGUCCAGUGAACAGCAUAGGAAGGGAGACUGUUUGAAAUGACACAGGGAAUGAACCAGUGGGGGAAAGGGGGUCCUGAUCUAGACAUUCAGAGCUUGUAGAAUUGCUGCAUCCAGGUCAGAAGAAUGUCCACUUCCCCAAGGGCUUUGGUAAGAGCUGCUUCUAUGUCCAACUAAAGGGAAAAGAGGGUUGAAGGUCAACCAUGUUAGCUAUGAGAAUAGUCUUUCUUCUAACCCGCCAUGGCUAAAAUAGACCUGACUCCAAUCCAUGGGAUGGGUCACCUUUGGGAUGGCCUCUGAUGAGCUCACCUGCUUGUCACUUUUCCUCCAUCUACAUGUGUUUGUCUGCUUCAGGGGUGAGGACAAACAGGCUAGUGAGUAUCAGUGGGCAAGGAACAAGGAAAAGGCACAUGGCACGCCUAACAACAGGAACCACAAACUCCAGUAUAAGGUGGAUGUGUCCCACCACCUGAAUUCACUGCACAGGUGAAAUGAGCCCAGGUGGCCAGUCUCCAUCAGAUGUUAUUGCUCUUCACCAUUUAUUUAUAGGCUGAUGCAUCUCUUCCUCAAAUAAAAAGUGAUCAAAAUCA
Macaca mulatta (Rhesus monkey) is the source of this 3936-nucleotide RNA transcript. It is a transcript of the gene named Fc mu receptor, with no coding region annotated. The record is from RefSeq and is marked provisional. Lineage: Eukaryota; Metazoa; Chordata; Mammalia; Primates; Cercopithecidae.